RNAcentral lists this ribosomal RNA (253 nucleotides) under uncultured bacterium. Its description in RNAcentral is "partial 16S ribosomal RNA". It matches the Rfam family "Bacterial small subunit ribosomal RNA", at positions 524 to 776 of the family's 1533-position model. The record is from RNAcentral.
UACGGGGGGGGUAAGCGUUGUUCGGAAUUACUGGGCGUAAAGGGCUCGUAGGCGGCCAACUAAGUCAGACGUGAAAUCCCUCAGCUUAACUGGGGAACUGCGUCUGAUACUGGAUGGCUUGGAUUCGGGAGAGGAAUGCGGAAUUCCAGGUGUAGCGGUGAAAUGCGUAGACAUCUGGAGGAACACCAAUGGCGAAGGCAGCUCGCUGGGACGGUACUGACGCUGAGACGCGAAAGCGUGGGGAGCAAACAGG